Molecule: ribosomal RNA, 460 nt
Filed under: uncultured bacterium
Lineage: Bacteria
Description: bacterial SSU rRNA
Rfam family: Bacterial small subunit ribosomal RNA
Source: RNAcentral
GUACGGGAGGCAGCAGUGGGGAAUCUUGGACAAUGGGCGCAAGCCUGAUCCAGCAAUGCCGCGUGCGUGAAGAAGGCCUUCGGGUUGUAAAGCGCUUUUGUUCGGGAGGAAAUCCUAGUGGCUAAUAUCCAUUGGGGAUGACAGUACCGGAAGAAUAAGGACCGGCUAACUACGUGCCAGCAGCCGCGGUAAUACGUAGGGUCCAAGCGUUAAUCGGAAUUACUGGGCGUAAAGGGUGCGCAGGUGGUUGAUUAAGUGUGAUGUGAAAGCCCCGGGCUCAACCUGGGAAUUGCAUUGCAAACUGGUCAACUAGAGUAUGGCAGAGGGGGGUGGAAUUCCGCGUGUAGCAGUGAAAUGCGUAGAGAUGCGGAGGAACACCGAUGGCGAAGGCAACCCCCUGGGCUAAUACUGACACUCAUGCACGAAAGCGUGGGGAGCAAACAGGAUUAGAUACCCUGGU